CGGGUAGAGUAACGCGUGGAGAACCUGCCGUAUACUGGGGGAUAACACUUAGAAAUAGGUGCUAAUACCGCAUAAGCGCACAGCUUCGCAUGAAGCAGUGUGAAAAACUCCGGUGGUAUACGAUGGAUCCGCGUCUGAUUAGCUGGUUGGCGGGGUAAAGGCCCACCAAGGCGACGAUCAGUAGCCGGCCUGAGAGGGUGAACGGCCACAUUGGGACUGAGACACGGCCCAAACUCCUACGGGAGGCAGCAG
This 252-nucleotide ribosomal RNA is filed under the name uncultured bacterium. RNAcentral describes it as "partial 16S ribosomal RNA". It matches the Rfam family "Bacterial small subunit ribosomal RNA", at positions 100 to 354 of the family's 1533-position model. The record is from RNAcentral.